Molecule: ribosomal RNA, 497 nt
Filed under: uncultured bacterium
Lineage: Bacteria
Description: partial 16S ribosomal RNA
Rfam family: Bacterial small subunit ribosomal RNA
Source: RNAcentral
GAUGAACGCUGGCGGCGUGCCUAAUACAUGCAAGUCGAGCGAACAGACGAGGAGCUUGCUCCUCUGACGUUAGCGGCGGACGGGUGAGUAACACGUGGAUAACCUACCUAUAAGACUGGGAUAACUUCGGGAAACCGGAGCUAAUACCGGAUAACAUGUUGAACCGCAUGGUUCAACAGUGAAAGACGGUUUUGCUGUCACUUAUAGAUGGAUCCGCGUCGCAUUAGCUAGUUGGUAAGGUAACGGCUUACCAAGGCAACGAUGCGUAGCCGACCUGAGAGGGUGAUCGGCCACACUGGAACUGAGACACGGUCCAGACUCCUACGGGAGGUAGCAGUAGGGAAUCUUCCGCAAUGGGCGAAAGCCUGACGGAGCAACGCCGCGUGAGUGAAGAAGGUCUUCGGAUCGUAAAACUCUGUUAUUAGGGAAGAACAAAUGUGUAAGUAACUAUGCACGUCUUGACGGUACCUAAUCAGAAAGCCACGGCUAACUACGUG